GGGACUUGGUGCUGGUGGUAGCCAGAGGACUCUGCCCCUGAAGAACACCAAGAAGGUAAAAGGUAGCCUUUCACCAAGUGCAGAGCUUAACAAGAUUAUCUAUAGAAAAGGUGCCAAACUCACUCAGCUUGUCCUUUGGGUGUGUCUGUUAACUCACCAUCUUAGUGCUCCCUUUGGACAUUGACACACCAUCCUGCAAUAUUCCAGUUUAUAUCCUGGCAAUGCCAUCUCCUAAUCAGGGCUUCA
RNAcentral lists this long non-coding RNA (246 nucleotides) under Serinus canaria (Common canary). RNAcentral's name for it is "lncRNA (ENSSCAG00000008830.1)". Lineage: Eukaryota; Metazoa; Chordata; Aves; Passeriformes; Fringillidae. The record is from RNAcentral.